CGCCUUCCUCCCGCCUCCUUCUCCUCCCCACUCCCUCUCCUUCUCUCCUCCUUCUCCCUCCCCCCUUCCCCUCCUUCUCCUCCCUCUCCCUCCUCUUCUUUCCCCCUUCUUCCCCCUCCCGCUCCUCUCCCUCCCUCUCCUUCUCCCCCUCCUCCUCCCUCCCUCUUCUCCCUUCCUCCCCCGACUCCUUCUCUCCUCCCUUCUUUCUCCCCUCCCCAUCACCGCUCUUUUUGGUGUGUUGCUCACUUUCUCCUCAGUUUGUCCAAACACUUUCAGUUUUCACUUUCAGGAAGUGUUGAGGUCCACACCCAACUCAGGCUCUCCAUCCCUGAGGGGAAGCACGUGGCUGUCCCCUUUCGGUGGAUUUCAAGCAUCCCUGGCGCAGGUGCAGCGGCCUUGCCCUGGGCUCACCAGCAGCCUUUGGGGUCCCAGUUGGCAGGCAGCCCUGUUCCCUGGGGGUCCCUGCCGGAGCUGCUGGUCCCUGGAGCUACCCCGUGGUACGGUUCAUCUGGACCAGCCUCUGAUGUGGGGAAGACCAAGCGAGAGCACACUGCGGAGAGCCCAAAAGUCAGAUGUCCUGGCUUAAGCUGCUGAAGCCACCUUGGACCAUGAGUGAUCUUGAGAAUGGAAGCCACUGUCUAGAUGUUGGAACAAAGACAAUGGCCUGGGCCUCCCUGAUGACACCGCAGAGUCACCAAUUCUAAUGAACAUACUACCAACAGUGAUUUUCUCCUUGGCCCAUUAACCACACGGAAGGGAGUAUUCGCUGUGGAGUGCCUCUGUAGCUGAGGGCCCCUGGCGCGUGGUUUCAUCAGAGGCAGACAGCUGCGUGAGUCACUGUGGUGGGCAGUGUGCUGGGCCACCCUGCGGGUCCUGCCAGAGUGCUGUGGAAUUCAAGUUUGUCUUCUCCAGUUUUAGUCUCUGCACGUGCGUUGGUCUCCUUUCUGCCCCUACAGUGUGGCCAAGGCCAUUCCAGCCUCAGGAGGGCAAGAGGAGGCCUGUUGGAUGCAUCCUGAAAACACAGGCCAUCACUGUGGGUGAGAUCUACCAGGACAGAUGCCAUUCUGCAAAGUGGGUACUUUCCAUGAGAAUCCAUCCAUGUUUUUCUCUUAUUCCUUCUCUUGGCAGAUUUUCACUCUUUUCACAACCUUGUUUCAUAGACAUCAAACAAUAACACAGCACAGAAGGAAAACAAGGGUCUUCUUAUACAAAUACCAUGUAUUUAAUUCUGGCACUCAUGAUUUAUUUAUAUCAGAAAGUCAUCUUAAAUUUUUAGGAGCUCACAACAUUCAAAACCUCACACAAAUUUCUAAACUAGUAGAGAUGUCUCUGCAUCUCCCACUACUUUCUUCUGCAUGUCAAGUUUCACUUUAGGUUAGAAUAGUCAUAUAUACCCGUUGAUGGGUGCAGCAAACCACCAUGGCACAUGUAUAGCUACGUAACAAACCUGCACAUUCCGCACAUGUAUCCCAGAACUUAAAGUAAAAUAAAAAUAAAAAAAUCACAACAUUGGAAAGCCAAAAAAAAUAGCCAUAUAUAAACUUUUUCAUCUUAAAAUCCAUUUUACUCCUAACUGUCAAGGAAAAACAGAUGGUUCUAAACUCCUCCUUCUAGGCUCCUAGUGGUAAAGCAAUUUGCAGGACAACCAUGGAAGAAAGGUGCCCGCCUUCUCUAAGCUGACAUGGCCCCGCUCCCUCCCUCAGUCUGUAGCCUCAGGAGGGGACUGCUUUGCCUGUGAGUGGGAGGGAGCUACCGUGUGAGUAGUUCCCAACAGACCAUCUGAAGUCAUUUUCCCAGGUGGCAGGAGAAACACAGAGCCAGACGUUACACUGCUUUUCAAAGAGUAUCAAGUUCUGUUUGGCUUUUGUGGAAAGCCAUUUCCGAAGACCUGCCUUACUUGACUGUUUCUCCCUCUCUGGCUCUCCUGUUACCAACGUCCUAGAGUUGCCUCUGCUGCCCCAGCGAGGAUGGCGACACAAACAGCGGUGGUGUCAGCGGACAGCGGUGGUGUCAGCGGUGACCGAGGCAGGGCCGAGACUCCAGGGCCCUUCGGGUUCAAGCUGUGCCCCCUCGCGCAGUUCAGCACCUGCCAGCACUUCCAAGUGUGUGAUUGUCACGCUUGCCUGAUUACUCCUUCCUUUGGGCUCCCAUAGCAAUUUGUACAUUACUGUGGAAUUGAUCAAAUUGCUUUAUAACUAGCUGUUUAUGUGUCUUUAAUCUGUGUCAUUUUGGAUGGCAGGAAAUGCUCUUUCGGUAAUUUUUUUGUCCACACUGACUGGAAUACUGGUUGGCACAUAGUAGGUAUUCAACAGUUUUUUAUCGAGGGAAUGAAAGCUCUCUAAACCACAGCAAUCAUUUGUAGACAAAGACUCUUAGGGUGUAAUGUGAUUUAACAUCUGAUUUUUGGAAAAUAGUUACUGAGAUCAUUCCGACAAUAAUAGAGUGCAAUACCCUACCUUGAAUAAAGGAUAUUUUACUCCUUUAGUGUGACAUAUAGGUGUU
This 2502-nucleotide long non-coding RNA is filed under the name Homo sapiens (human). RNAcentral's name for it is "HSALNT0324319". Lineage: Eukaryota; Metazoa; Chordata; Mammalia; Primates; Hominidae. The record is from RNAcentral.